This 260-nucleotide small RNA is filed under the name Aneurinibacillus aneurinilyticus. RNAcentral describes it as "BsrG". It matches the Rfam family "BsrG". From Rfam's summary of the family: bsrE, bsrG and bsrH pair through intermolecular interactions with antisense sRNAs. SR4 interaction with the 3'UTR of bsrG RNA promotes bsrG degradation and inhibits its translation. The record is from RNAcentral. Lineage: Bacteria; Bacillati; Bacillota; Bacilli; Caryophanales; Paenibacillaceae.
GGAUAUGGCUCUCUCAAGGGCAGGUCGGCUCGUCCCCGGAAAGGGGGUGAGGAUGUGACAGUAUAUGAAGCGAUUUCUCUGAUGAUUGGAUGCGGCAUGCUUGUUGCUACUAUAUUCAUCGCAGUGUUUACUGCUAUUGCUGUCAUUAAGAAAGAAAAGUAGACCUCCCUUGAGCCGUGACAAGCGAAGGAGGUCUAUUCCCUAAAGUAGCUUAUGAGCCGUCCCCUUGGGGGAACGUCUACUGUACAUACUGCUUGGUG